CUCCUUCCUCUCUCUCCAAGCCAAAUCGGCGGCGCUUCACUCUCCUUCUCCAGCGAACUGAUUGCCUUUUCCGUUCUAAUUCAUCUCCUUCUGCUUCGAUUCCGGUCCGAUGCAUCUCCUCUGAUGGUCUUCUCCCCCGUUCAUCUUCUUCGUUCGCGUUUGAAUUUGUGGUGUUCGAUUUUGUACGUUUGAUGAUGAAUGUUGGGUUAAAACAACUCUGAAUCGGCAAAGCUAGGUGAGAUCUUUCCGAAUUUAUGUUAUUUUCUCUUUAAUCUCUCUUCUUCUCUCUCAAACUUUCAGAAGGGUUUGUGAAAUUGAAAAUGAUGAAUAGCUUUUGGGUUUCUUGAUGUUUGUGAUUUCACUGUGUUUGAUGUUUGUGGUUCUUUAACGUGAACAAUGGUCUUUCGUUCUCUUUUCUUCGCAUUUUGGAGGAUUUGUAUUUUGAAGAUAAUGAUUUUGUUCAACCAUAGUUUAAAUUGAAUGGAGCUCUAACCAUCUUCUUUGGCUUUUAGGAGAUUCAUCCAAUCUGCACAAUCUUCUUACAAGUGCACUAAAACGUGAACUCAAGAACAAGCAAAAAGAAGAGAUUUGAAGAAAAUGGAAGAGGAGAAAUCCAAAAAGAUACUAUUGGUGAAUCUAAUCCUUCUCCUUCUAAAAACAGGUUUUUGUCUCAUAAACACUCCUAUUUAACCUAAAAUAUUAGUCAAAGUUGCAGCACAUUUCACAAUAUCACACGAUGAGCAUCGGAAGGAAGUGGAAGGAUAUCAUUGAUGUUAGCGACAAGAUGUGGUGAAUCUCAUUCGUGAUUCUCUCACGGUCUCAUUCGUGUUCAUGAACUUUUCGUGCUAGAUGCUAAACUGAAUGAAUUAUGAACAUCAAACAAUUUGAACGAGAUCGAGCCUCUGCAGCAAGCACUGGAAAGAUGCGUAAUAAUCACAGUGGUAUAUGCUCAUCUGAGGAGGAACUCAAUGAUGUUGAAUGUCAUCAGUAGGUUGGCUCUCAUGGUGAAGGUGGAAUUCUUAGGAACAGUGAAGGUGGGAGGUUUAUGGAAAUAUAUGCUCCUAUCGCAUCAAAAGAUGUAGCUUCAAGAUCAAUGAUUAUGGAGAUUCGGGAAGGUUGUGGUGUAGGUGUCCCUGCUAAUGCGAUGGAUUACACGUCUGGCACGCCCUACAGUUCCUUAGACGAUUAUCUGUGUCAUAUUUCAAGCAAUCCAUACAUGAUCAGCUACCGAAUUUAACGUGCAGCAACACUUCCUUCUGCAUUGUAUCACCGACGAAUCACUACUUGCAAAUCAAAGCCUCACGUUCACCUGCGAUUAGAAACAGCGGCGAGAAGUUCAAAGCAACGCGAAUCCACAACAAAAUUUGAAGCUUCACGACUCAACAUCAUCAUCAACGCAAAAACAACAGCCUCAAGCAUCACUGCUCGGUACAGUUCCUUUACUCUCAAUCAAUGCAUUGUUGUUUAUUAUUUUCCACAAUUUUAUGAGUAUUUUGUUAGAUUUGUUGUUGCCUUUUCGUUUUGCUUGAUGAGAAGAAAUGGAAUAGA
Molecule: long non-coding RNA, 1548 nt
Organism: Vicia villosa (hairy vetch)
Lineage: Eukaryota; Viridiplantae; Streptophyta; Magnoliopsida; Fabales; Fabaceae
Exons: 7
Source: RefSeq, a predicted model, not a curated record